GGAAGAUCCGCCUCUGGGAUGUUAUAAUCUCCCUGGUAUUUAUACAGAAGGCUUCCCCACAGCAAGGUCCCCAGGAAAGGAGUUUCCUUCUGCACUCGGUCCCCUGCACCACCUUCUGCCAAAGCCAUGUGUGAAGAGGAGACAACAGCCUUGGUGUGCGACAAUGGCUCUGGGCUCUGCAAGGCUGGCUUUGCUGGGGACGAUGCGCCUCGCGCAGUCUUCCCCUCCAUUGUGGGACGCCCACGUCACCAGGAAUAGGAUCAGCCUGAUCCUGAAGAAAGCAGACAGACACGUGGCUUACGAAAGGAUUCAGACAGGAUUAGGGCUAAUCUUCUGGGGGCUCAGCGGCUAAUAAGAAGGGCCAGGAAGGCGAGACACAGCAUCUGGGACUGCAUUGAUGGUCCUCCCUCUGGCCAGCCAAGAGUGGCCUAGAUCCCCUGCAGGAGGUGAAUGGGUACGAUGGGAGGCUGGUCAAAAAAAAUGGGCCCAUGGAGAAGCCAG
RNAcentral lists this long non-coding RNA (501 nucleotides) under Laticauda laticaudata (blue-ringed sea krait). RNAcentral's name for it is "lncRNA (ENSLLTG00000005595.1)". Lineage: Eukaryota; Metazoa; Chordata; Lepidosauria; Squamata; Elapidae. The record is from RNAcentral.